This 258-nucleotide ribosomal RNA is filed under the name uncultured bacterium. Its description in RNAcentral is "partial small subunit ribosomal RNA". It matches the Rfam family "Bacterial small subunit ribosomal RNA", at positions 26 to 285 of the family's 1533-position model. The record is from RNAcentral.
AGGACGAACGCUGGCGGCGUGCUUAACACAUGCAAGUCGAACGGUGAACCAGGGCUUGCCCUGGGGAUCAGUGGCGAACGGGUGAGUAACACGUGACCAACCUGCCCUUGGCUCUGGGAUAACCCCGGGAAACCGGAGCUAAUACCGGAUACGAGUCCGUAUGGCAUCACACGGACUGGAAAGUUUUUCGGCAAAGGAUGGGGUCGCGGCCUAUCAGCUUGUUGGUGGGGUAAUGGCCCACCAAGGCGACGACGGGUA